GAUGAACGCUGGCGGCGUGCCUAAUACAUGCAAGUCGAGCGAACGGACGAGAAGCUUGCUUUUCUGAUGUUAGCGGCGGACGGGUGAGUAACACGUGGAUAACCUACCUAUAAGACUGGGAUAACUUCGGGAAACCGGAGCUAAUACCGGAUAAUAUUUUGAACCGCAUGGUUCAAAAGUGAAAGACGGUCUUGCUGUCACUUAUCGAUGGAUCCGCGCUGCAUUAGCUAGUUGGUAAGGUAACGGCUUACCAAGGCAACGAUGCAUAGCCGACCUGAGAGGGUGAUCGGCCACACUGGAACUGAGACACGGUCCAGACUCCUACGGGAGGCAGCAGUAGGGAAUCUGCCGCAAUGGGCGAAAGCCUGACGGAGCAACGCCGCGUGAGUGAUGAAGGUCUUCGGAUCGUAAAACUCUGUUAUUAGGGAAGAACAUAUGUGUAAGUAACUGUGCACAUCUUGACGGUACCUAAUCAGAAAGCCACGGCUAACUACGUG
Molecule: ribosomal RNA, 497 nt
Filed under: uncultured bacterium
Lineage: Bacteria
Description: partial 16S ribosomal RNA
Rfam family: Bacterial small subunit ribosomal RNA
Source: RNAcentral